This 28-nucleotide small RNA is filed under the name Bombyx mori (domestic silkworm). Its description in RNAcentral is "ovarian small RNA-6018". Lineage: Eukaryota; Metazoa; Arthropoda; Insecta; Lepidoptera; Bombycidae. The record is from RNAcentral.
UACCAGCAGUGGUACGACCACGGGGAGC